RNAcentral lists this ribosomal RNA (164 nucleotides) under uncultured bacterium. RNAcentral describes it as "partial 16S ribosomal RNA". It matches the Rfam family "Bacterial small subunit ribosomal RNA", at positions 355 to 511 of the family's 1533-position model. The record is from RNAcentral.
UAGGGAAUCUUCCACAAUGGACGAAAGCCUGAUGGAGCAACGCCGCGUGUGUGAUGAAGGGUUUCGGCUCGUAAAACACUGUUGUAAGAGAAGAAUGACAUUGAGAGUAACUGUUCAAUGUGUGACGGUAUCUUACCAGAAAGGAACGGCUAAAUACGUGUCAG